Molecule: long non-coding RNA, 5318 nt
Filed under: Homo sapiens (human)
Lineage: Eukaryota; Metazoa; Chordata; Mammalia; Primates; Hominidae
Description: HSALNT0200039
Source: RNAcentral
CCCAGAUCCUUUUCAAAAACCCUAGCCGCAGAAUUUGACUGGCAGAGGAUGUGUUUAUACUUAGUCUCACUAUCAAUUCUCCCUAAAAUGGAAAACCUGCAACAAAGGAUGCACUAAAAUGCUGCUCCCCAGGGCAGGCUUGUGUCAGCACAAGAGGCAGUUACAGGGAGAUCAUGUUAAGGGAUUUGCACUUAAUAACCUUGGCACCGGUCCAGCCAAGGCUGGGAAAAGUACUCCCAGUUCUCUACCCCAGCAGCAAAUGAUGUAAUUCACGCUACAAGGAGGCACGUCCGCUGACCUGGCUUGGCAGAGAGACAAAGAGACUUAGAUGAAUGUAGCCCCAGAUGCAGAGUUCAGAACUAUGAAGUAAGUGUGAAGUGCUCGAUGUGCUGAGAAAGAAAAAGGAAAGGUCUUCAGACUGAUGGAGUGUGACAGGAUCCAGAUGAGCCCUCUUCUUGAGUUGAAUUAUUUUUCCAGAAACAUCAUGAAAGAAUCAAUCUUCAGAGACUAAUGUUCCAAGGGAAGGCCUGUCUUCUGGGAAUAACAGACCUGAUGUGUGUAUUCUGCCAAAACACAGGCUUGUUCUCAUGGCAGUUGCUGGAAGCAAGAGAGCCAGUGAAAGAGUGAAAGUGCUCUUGAGACAUAAUGACUCUUCUGCUGCAAUCUAUUGGUAAAAGCAAUAGAAUAAAAGGUCAGCAUAGAUAGAAGAGGAGAAGAAAUGGACUCCACCUCUUGAUAAAAGGAUGUGCAAAAUCACAUUACAAAGAGUAUGGAAAUGGGAGAAGUGAAGGAUCAUGGCCAUUUUUGCAACCCUCCACAUAUGAUAGGGCUUCCAGGAGCACUCUUCUACCUGUCAUUUGGAGUACAUGUGCAACAAUUUCCCUUCUAUCUGUUUAGAGAGAUGAUGUUCCACCGUGUUAACCAGGAUGGUCUCGAUCUCCUGACCUCAUGAUCCGCCUGCUUCAGCCUCCCAAAGUGCUGGGAUUACAGAUGUGAGCUACCGUGCCCAGCCUGUUGUUUUCUUUCUAACUUCUGAAGUUAGAUGCUUAGUUCAUUGGUUUUCUAAAGUAUUUUCUAAAGGCCAUUAUGAUUUCUCCUUUGAACAAUGUACAACUAAAAGAAUAUUUCAAAUACUUUAAAUAUAUACAUUUAAUUUUUUUUCCUUAAAUUACUCAUUUCCUACUUAAUUGCAUUGUAGGGAAGAAUAUUGACUGUAUGAAUCAAUAUUUGGAAAUUUGUUGAUUUUUUUCUAUUUUCUUUUUAUAAUUCUGUCAAUUCUUGCUUCAUAUUAUUAAGGUCAUAUUAUUUUGUGCUGGUGGGUAGAAAUAGAUUGUAUGUUCUUGAUCAAUUGACUUUUUUAUCAUUAUGUAAGCCUAGAAAUUUUUACCUUAAUAUACUUAUUUGAACUUUGUUAGUAUUUGUAUGUUAUUUUUUUCCUUCUUUAUAUUUUAAAUGUUAUUGUCUUGUUAUAUUUUAGAUGUGUCUCUUAUCAACAGCAUAGAGCUAGAUCUAAAAAUUCCAGUCUAGCAAUUUGGCCUCUUAAAUGGAGUUUUUAGCAUAGUUAUAUUUUUGUAAUUACUAAAAUAUUUGGGUUAUUUUCAGCAUCUUAUUUUCUGCUUUAUAAUUGUUCCUCUUGUUCUAUGUUUCUUUCACUUUCCUUUCAUAUCUUAUUUUACAUUAAUUUUAAAAAUUAUAUUAUUUUUCUGUAUUAUUUUGGAAAUUAUAUACCCUAUACUUAUCAAUUAAAAUUUGCUUAUUCUAGAAAUACAUUUUAAAGAAUUUUAGUGAGAAUUUAUGGAAAGUAAACAUUUUUAGUUGUAGUUCCUCUGAAGAAUAUCUUUUUGUCACCCUUAUUCUUGAGAAUGAUUUUCUUUGGUACAUAAUUCUAUGUUGAUAAUUAUUUUCUUUUUGCAUGUUGAAGAUAUCAUUCUACUGUUCUCUGGUUUCCAUUUUAUUCCUCCUAGGUUCAUUAUUUGCAGUAAUUGUGUUCUAGAAACUCACUGUUAACACUGAAUUAUUAAAUAUUGAACCACUGCUCCUAGAGAAAAUAAAAGGUGAGGUUCCAUGAGCAUGUGGUCACAACAUUUUCAUUAGCUUAUCAACACAUAACCUUGUUUUGUAUGUGUUUCUGUUUAAAAACACCUUAUUUAAUCUAUAUUGUUGAUUAAUUAACAUUGAACUUGCAGACCACAGCACUGUACUCAUAUCUGAAUGCAGCUUCUGUAACAUGUGUAUUUUCCCCCAAAGACACAUCAUAGUCUUCUUGUUCUUAGGACCACUAACAGUAUUUUAGCACUAUGCUUGAGGAGAAUUUUAAACCACAAAAUCACCAACAAAAAGCACAGAAAUCGAAAAAUAUGCCACUAAAUAGACUGUGAAAAAGACAAAUGUUUAUAGUAUAAGAGCUAAUAAAAGAAGGCAGAGGGUUGUGUUGUUUGAUCUUGGCUAGAAAGUAUGUAUGAGAUAACUCAGAUAUUUUGCCACAUUGUGCAUCUCCCUGAAUAACCAUGAAAGUGCUGCAAGAAUGGAUUUUGGGGUUACUAAUAAAUUUUAGCAAGUAGGCAAAUUUUCAAAUAUUGAAUCUGUGAAUAAUGAGCACCAACUAUAAUUGGUCCUUUUUUAAAAAAAUCUUAUUCUUCAGGUUUUGUGCUCUUCAGUUUCACUCUAAUAGUAUAUAUGUCAAUUUUAUUUUUAAAAUUUUUUGAUAAAAUUUUGAUUUUCUUAGACUUCAUAAAUCUGGGGCUUAAUAUUUCUCAUCAGUUCUUUAAGAAUGCUCAGCCAUUUCUUCUUCAAGUAUUCUGUCACCCAUUUUCUCUCUCUUUCUUUUUCUGGGACUCUAGACAUAUUUUUGAACUUUUUACUUUGUUAUUUAUGACUCCUAACUAUUAUUCAGUAUCUUUCAUUUCUUUGUCUCUCUGUGUUGCAUUAUGGAUUCAUUCUUUAAAUCUAAUUUCCAGUUUACUAAAUCUUUCUUCGGCUAUAUCAAAUCUGCUGAAAAAGCCAUUGUUUAAAUUUUAAUUUCAGUUGUUUUCUUUAAUUUUUACAAGUUCUUUUUGAUACUUUUUUCCAAAUAUUAUUGAUCUUUUUAAAAAUCCCUUGCUCUUGGCUUGAAAUCUUUAUCCUCUCUUCUAUUACUUUAAACAUACUACAUACAUGCAUAUAUUUUUAUAUCCCAUGUCUGAUAAUACCAUUAUCAGAAGUCAUUUUAAUUCUGACUCUAUUUUUUACUUUUUUCUAGCUCAUACUCAUGUUGCUUUCUUUAUUAAUCUAUUAAGUGUUUCCUCCUCCCCCUUCUACUUCUUCCUCUCCCCCAUUCCUCCUUUCUUUUCUUCACCAUUAGCCUAUAAUCUUUAGAAGUAUAUUAGUAGGAAUUUUUUGAGACUUGGCUUGAAGAUGUAUUUCUUCAGUGAGGACUUUGUUCACUUUUCCUAAAUGCCUGAAAACCAUUUUAAACUGAAUUGAGAGCUUCAAGGCUUUUUAGGUCACCAGGAGUAUAUGAAUUUAGGCUGCAAACCUACAUGAGGCCCAGAGUGUAUACCUAAAUUCUUAGGGAAUAUUUUCCUCCUUAACCUAAAACAAAAUGUUGAGAUAGGCACCCUUUCUCUGACAGUGUAUGGGGUUUCCUUUUCAGCAUUUCAUGAUAAGCAUAUUCUAGGUUUUGUCUCCAAUCUUCCUGCAUUGGGAGGCUAUGAAAACUAAAGCUCAGUGCUCUCAGGGUAAAGCCAAUUUGAGUUCUUUUUCCCUUUGUGUGUGUAUUUGUUACUUGAACCACACCCACUGAUUUUUAUAAAAACAAUAUAUUCUAUCAUUUGGCCUCACAUUUUAUUAGAACUAAGAAGGGUAGGAGAGUUUUUCAGAGUUUGGUGUCACAUCCAUGCGUACUAGGUUAGUGUUGUGAAAGUUCUGAGCACUGGGUGGGGGGCAGUGGGAGGGGAAUAUGCUUCAUUCUUUGUGCAGUUUUUCAAACUAUUUUCUUUUCAAACUACAAAACCAGAAAGUGUUCAUGUGAUAGGGCAUUAACAUAGAGAUACACAAAGAAAACGGCAACAAUCUGUCUCCCCCACUAUUGGCUCCUUAGCAGCCAAUAUUUACACUUUUGGAUGCAUGUUUAUCCUUAGCUCUGUAAGCUCAUACAAUUAUAUGCCAACAGAUACACAAUACAGAUUCUCUUUCUUUCUCUUCAUUACCAAAUAAUGAGAUGAUACUAUAAAUAUUUCUGCCACUUGCCUUUUCAUAUAACAGCAUAUCAUAUUCCUCCACGUCAAUAUAUGUAGCCUAAGUCGUAUGUUAUUAAUAGAAGCAUGUUAUUCUGUAGUAUGUAUAUAUGUGCUCCAAUUUAUUCAGCCAUUUCUCUAUUUAUAAACAGUAGUUUUCCUGCCAGAAUUUUACCAUUGAUGGUAGGGAAAGAUCAGCAAUGAACAUUCUAGACACAAUUUUAUUUGUACUGGUGCUUUUAUUUUUGUAGAAUAGAUCUUGCUGGAUCAAAGGCUGUUUGCGAUUUGCUUUCCAAAAAAAUUAUAGCUGUUGUAUAAGAGUGUCCUUUCCUCCAUAUUUUAGCUAACAAUAUAUUUUAUCAGUCUUUCUAAUAGAUGCCAGGCUGAUGAGGGGAAAUGCAUCUCAUGUUUGCCUUGUUUACUUCAACCUGAAUUUUCAAUAAGGUUGAGCAUCCUUCCAUAUGAUUAAUACCCAUUUGCAUCAACUCUAAAGUGGAAAACUGCAUACACUUUAUUCAUUUUUCUAUCAGAUUGCUUGAUGUUUACCUAUAAAUUUCUAUGGCUUUUUGUAAGUUAGAAAGAGUAAUCUUUGUCUGUCACAUAUAUUUCAAAUAUUUUUUCCAGCCUAUCAUUUGUUUUUUGACUUUGCAUUUGGUGUAUGGACAUUUUUAUCAGUUUCAUUGAGCUGUAAUUUACAUACAAUAAAAUUGACCUGUUUUAAGUGUACAAUGUGGUAGAUUUUGACAAAUAGGUACCUGUAUGUAACCAUCACCACAAUGAUGAUAUAGAAGUUUCAUUAUCCCACAUAUUUUACCUAUGCUUCUUUGUAACCAAUCUUUUCCCACCUCUAGCCCUGUGACCACUGAUCUGGUUUUCUUGCCUUUUCUGGAAUUUCAUAUAAAUGAAAUUAUGCAGCAUGUAGUCAUUUGUGCCUGUCUUUUUUCACUGAACAUAAUACCUUGAGAUCCCAUGUUGUGUGUAUCAGCCGUUCCACUUUUUAAAUAGCUGUAUGCAUAUUCCACAGUUUGUUUAUCCAUUCACCAGUAAAUAUUUAUUUCAGUUGUUGUUUUACCUAAUAUGAAUAAAACUGGUAAAAAAGUUUAA